GACGAACGCUGGCGGCGUGCCUAAUACAUGCAAGUUGAGCGCUGAAGGUUGGUACUUGUACCAACUGGAUGAGCAGCGAACGGGUGAGUAACGCGUGGGGAAUCUGCCUUUGAUCGGGGGACAACAUUUGGAAACGAAUGCUAAUACCGCAUAAAAACUUUAAACACAAGUUUUAAGUUUGAAAGAUGCAAUUGCAUCACUCAAAGAUGAUCCCGCGUUGUAUUAGCUGGUUGGUGAGGUAAAGGCGCGCCAAGGCGAUGAUACAUAGCCGGCCUGGGAGGGUGAUCGGCCACAUUGGGACUUGGACACGGCCCAAACUCCUACGGGAGGCAGCAGUAGGGAAUCUUCGGCAAUGGACGAAAGUCUGACCGAGCAACGCCGCGUGAGUGAAGAAGGUUUUCGGAUCGUAAAACUCUGUUGGUAGAGAAGAACGUUGGUGAGAGUGGAAAGCUCAUCAAGUGACGGUAACUACCCAGAAAGGGACGGCUAACUACGUG
This 497-nucleotide ribosomal RNA is filed under the name uncultured bacterium. RNAcentral describes it as "partial 16S ribosomal RNA". It matches the Rfam family "Bacterial small subunit ribosomal RNA", at positions 28 to 507 of the family's 1533-position model. The record is from RNAcentral.